Molecule: ribosomal RNA, 462 nt
Filed under: uncultured bacterium
Lineage: Bacteria
Description: partial 16S ribosomal RNA
Rfam family: Bacterial small subunit ribosomal RNA
Source: RNAcentral
AGUGAACGCUGGCGGCGUGCUUAAUACAUGCAAGUCGAACGAUGAAGUCCUAGCUUGCUCGGAUGGAUUAGUGGCGCACGGGUGAGUAAUAUAUAGUUAAUCUGCCUUGCACUGAGGAACAACAGUUGGAAACGAUUGCUAAUACCUCAUACUCCAACUUUACAUAAGUUAAGUUGGGAAAGUCUUUUCGGUGCAAGAUGAGACUAUAUCGUAUCAGCUAGUUGGUAAGGUAAUGGCUUACCAAGGCUAUGACGCGUAACUGGUCUGAGAGGAUGAUCAGUCACAUUGGAACUGAGACACGGUCCAAACUCCUACGGGAGGCAGCAGUAAGGAAUAUUGUGCAAUGGGGGAAACCCUGACGCAGCAACGCCGCGUGGAGGAUGACACUUUUCGGAGCGUAAACUCCUUUUGUUAGGGAAGAAUAAUGACGGUACCUAACGAAUAAGCACCGGCUAACUCCGU